Molecule: long non-coding RNA, 1026 nt
Organism: Sphaerodactylus townsendi
Lineage: Eukaryota; Metazoa; Chordata; Lepidosauria; Squamata; Sphaerodactylidae
Exons: 6
Source: RefSeq, a predicted model, not a curated record
AGAGCUUAUAGGGUCUUUUCUUUCCUCUCCUGUGCUGGCUCUGGAUUCCUGCUUGAAUGUGAGCCGCUGAUAACGGGACGAAUUUCAGCUUUCGUUAUUACAUUUCAUCCACAUUAUUCAUUUUGCCAAAAUCUUUUAGAAAAAAUCUUUAGAGCAAAUUGCAGGAGACACCAGAGUUUGCUGAAUCAUAAUGGAAUGGCGAAUCCAUUGUGAAAUGCUGAGACAUCAGAUUGAAGGAAAUUGACAAACCCUAAGCAGUUCUUAUAUGGAAGAAGAUGCAUUUUUUAAGGGAGAUUAGAGAAGCCACACUGCGGAGAAGCAGCAGUAGGUUCCCCUUGUGUGACUGAUUUCACCUUUAAUCCCACCAUUGAUUGAGUAUUGCUAAGCAGACUGCCACGUAUUUGAAGGUUUGCCUGAUGAAGGAUGCCCCAGGAAAAAGCAAGCUAUUUGCACAAAAAGUUGAUUUGUGAUAUAAUUAAUUCAACCCCACCGAGCCUGCUGGAUAUCAGCCGAAUUUGGGCGUCUGGAGAGUCAUUCCAUUUCCUGAAGAGUUGGAAAGUGAGUCAAAUCCUUCAAGCACAACCUUAUAGUCAGGAUCAGCAUCUCCCAUCGCACCGUACUUGCGAAUUUGCUCAUCCAGAAUGCACGCGGAAUAUGAUUUGUACAGCUUUUAAAGGAGACUUGAGUUAGUUCAUACAAUCAGAAGAAUGAAGGGUGUUUUUUUUUCCUGAUCUGAACUACUUCAAGCCACAGGCAAUAGUCUGCAAGAAGUGGGUCUGGAAGAGAAAGAGAUGACUUCAUUGCAGAAUCUGGUGACCCAAGACUAACAUUUUAAAGAAGGGAGAAGAGCCCAUGUUGUCGUCUUGAGGAAAACAAGAAAUCCUCCAAAAUUACUGCCCCGUUGCAUAAUUCCCAUGCAUAUGGCAAAGACGGGUGUCUUAUUAAAACGCUCAACUACUAGCCAACUUUCCCCUCCCCGGCUUCAGUUUGAAAUUAAUUAUUUUAAUACAGAAUUCCUGAAUGAAA